UAGAAGGAUGCCCGUUGGUUGGGGCUCUUAGCUGUUAACUAAGAAUUUGUAGGAUCGAGGCCUACCCUUCUAG
This 73-nucleotide transfer RNA is filed under the name Champsodon cf. snyderi CBM-ZF 10876. Its description in RNAcentral is "tRNA-Asn". The record is from RNAcentral. Lineage: Eukaryota; Metazoa; Chordata; Actinopteri; Acropomatiformes; Champsodontidae.